RNAcentral lists this long non-coding RNA (547 nucleotides) under Gossypium barbadense (sea-island cotton). Its description in RNAcentral is "long non-coding RNA (GBAR_LNC014089)". The record is from RNAcentral. Lineage: Eukaryota; Viridiplantae; Streptophyta; Magnoliopsida; Malvales; Malvaceae.
UCAACUCAAAAAAAUUUCACUCGAUUCGAUUAAACACUCACAUUUAUUUUAUCCAUACAUCAAUAUAUCUGAUAAAUAAAUAAUAUAGAAUUUUAGGUAUGGUUAAUAAAUAAAAAGAUAAUACAUGAUUAAAAAAAUUAAAAAGAAAAUGCAUCAUAUACACAAGUAGCCCUGGGUGCCAUUAACCAUAAAAGUUCGUGUGUUGUUAAAGGAGGCAAGAGAAAAGUCGGAUCCCACUCAUAAAUACUUGGACCCAUUUUCCACAUGGGUCUAGUAGUAGUGUAGGUUAAUGGGUUACUUCCCCCAAGUGCACAUUAGCUUGGGUUGAGUAAGAACUAAGAACCCGUCUUCUUUCCUCCAUUACGCGUAGAGAUGGAAAUAGUGAAAGAAGCAAAACAACUAGAAAACGAAAAACACUAUUGCACUGUGUUUGAGAGCAGGGGAGUAAUGAUGUCUGGUCCAUGGGGAAACAGCUCCCGCGCUGUUUCCGGGCGCCUCUCUCGAAACCCCACGCCUCAGAAAUGAGACCCCUACCAUAUAAACACAC